RNAcentral lists this ribosomal RNA (243 nucleotides) under uncultured Actinomycetales bacterium. Its description in RNAcentral is "partial 16S ribosomal RNA". It matches the Rfam family "Bacterial small subunit ribosomal RNA", at positions 88 to 334 of the family's 1533-position model. The record is from RNAcentral. Lineage: Bacteria; Bacillati; Actinomycetota; Actinomycetes; Actinomycetales.
UGCUCGAGUGGCGAACGGGUGAGUAACACGUGGGUGAUCUGCCCUGCACUUCGGGAUAAGCUUGGGAAACUGGGUCUAAUACCGGAUAGGACCAUCGUUUAGUGUAGGUGGUGGAAAGUUUUUUCGGUGUGGGAUGAGCUCGCGGCCUAUCAGCUUGUUGGUGGGGUAAUGGCCUACCAAGGCGUCGACGGGUAGCCGGCCUGAGAGGGUGUACGGCCACAUUGGGACUGAGAUACGGCCCAG